CGUGAGGGAAAGGUGAAAAGAACCCCGGGAGGGGAGUGAAAUAGAACCUGAAACCUUAUGCCUACAAGCAGAUAGAGUCUUAAGAGAGAUGAUAUCGUACUUUUUGUAGAACGGGCCAGCGAGUUAUGGUGUGCGGCAAGGUUAAGUAAUGAAGUUACGGAGCCGUAGGGAAACCGAGUCUGAAUAGGGCGAGAUAGUCGUAUGCCAUAGACCCGAAACCAGGUGAUCUAUCCAUGAGCAGGUUGAAGUGAAAGUAAAAUUUCAUGGAGGACCGAACCGGGUAGCGUUUAAAAGCUAUCGGAUGACUUGUGGAUAGGGGUGAAAAGCCAAUCGAACUUGGAGAUAGCUGGUUCUCCUCGAAAUAGCUUUAGGGCUAGCCUCAAUUUAGUUUACAGGGGGUAGAGCACUGAAUACCGUAGGGGUGUUAGACAUUACCGAAAGUUAUCAAACUGCGAAUACCUGAUAAAUGAUGAUUGGGAGUCAGACUAUGUGGGAUAAGCUUCAUAGUCAAAAGGGAAAGAGCCCAGACCACCAGCUAAGGUCCCUAAAUAUAGAUUAAGUGGUAAAGGAUGUUUUACUACUCAGACAACCAGGAUGUUGGCUUAGAAGCAGCCAUACAUUUAAAGAGUGCGUAAUAGCUCACUGGUCAAGUGGUAGAGCGCCGAAAAUGAACGGGGCUAAAAUCUAAUACCGAAGCUGUGGACUAAUUAAAUUAGUGGUAGAGGAGCAUUGUGUAAGGGGUGAAGCUAAGUUGGAAGACGAAGUGGACUUUACAGAAGAGAGAAUGCUGGCAUGAGUAGCGAAAAGGAGGGUGAGAAUCCCUCCCGUCGAAAGCCUAAGGAUUCCUGAGGAAGGCUCGUCCUCUCAGGGUAAGUCGGGACCUAAGCCCAGGCUGAAAAGCGUAAGCGAUGGACAACAGGUUGAGAUUCCUGUACUAUCUUUGAAUGUUUGAGAGAAGUACUGACGCAGGAGGAUAUGUUGAGCGUGUGAAUGGUAGAGCACGUCUAAGCAAGUAGAUAGAGAAUAGAGGCAAAUCCCUAUUCUUAAUAUCGAGAUGUGAUGGGGAGCGAAAAAUAAGUAGUGAAGCAACAAAUUCCAAACUGCCAAGAAAAGGUACUAUUGAGUGAGAAGAUACCCGUACCAAAACCGACACAGGUAGGCAAGGAGAGAAUCCUAAGACGCGCGGAAGAACCUUUGUUAAGGAACUCGGCAAAAUGACCCCGUAACUUCGGGAGAAGGGGUACCAUUAGAUGUGAUAUACAUACGUAUGGAGCAUAGAGUGGUCGCAGAGAAUAGGCCCAAGCAACUGUUUACCAAAAACACAAGUCUCUGCUAAAUCGAAAGAUGAAGUAUAGGGGCUGACACCUGCCCGGUGCUGGAAGGUUAAGGGGAAAUGUUAGAGCAAUCGAAGCAUAGAACUUAAGCCCCAGUAAACGGCGGCCGUAACUAUAACGGUCCUAAGGUAGCGAAAUUCCUUGUCGGGUAAGUUCCGACCCGCACGAAAGGUGUAAUGAUUUGGGCACUGUCUCAACAAAGGAUCCGGUGAAAUUGUAGUAGUCGUGAAGAUGCGACUUACCCACGAUAGGACGGAAAGACCCCGUGGAGCUUUACUGUAGGCUGGCAUUGGAAUUUGGUAUUAAAUGUACAGGAUAGGUGGGAGACUGAGAAACGAGAGCGCCAGUUUUCGUGGAGUCAAUGUUGGGAUACCACUCUUUUGAUACUAAAUUUCUAACUUGAUACUCUGAAGCGAGUAUAAGGACACUGUCAGUUGGGCAGUUUGACUGGGGCGGUCGCCUCCUAAAGAGUAACGGAGGCGUUCAAAGGUUCCCUCAGAAUGGAAGGAAAUCAUUCAAAGAGUGCAAAGGCAAAAGGGAGCUUAACUGCGACACCAACAAGUGGAGCAGAUAGGAAACUAGGACUUAGUGAUCCGGUGGUACCGAGUGGAAGGGCCAUCGCUCAACGGAUAAAAGCUACCCCGGGGAUAACAGGCU
This 1991-nucleotide ribosomal RNA is filed under the name human oral metagenome. RNAcentral's name for it is "bacterial LSU rRNA". It matches the Rfam family "Bacterial large subunit ribosomal RNA", at positions 502 to 2483 of the family's 2925-position model. The record is from RNAcentral.